This is a long non-coding RNA of Anopheles gambiae (African malaria mosquito), 7723 nucleotides long. RefSeq lists it as uncharacterized. The record is from RefSeq and is a predicted model, not a curated record. The transcript has 4 exons. NCBI's taxonomy places the organism in Eukaryota, Metazoa, Arthropoda, Insecta, Diptera, Culicidae.
GAUAACUUCAUUCUGGUGUGAAAUAAUUGCUCCGCGGUAACCAUUUUUACAUCAUUACGCCAGUCCACUUUGUUUAUGCAUGCAUACGCGUAGCAGGCGGCGUCGGCAGCAGACGGUUCCUGGCAAGCGCUGCUGGGUGCUGCCUUUGGCUGCUACUGCUGCCGUUUGCCAGCAAUUUAGCGGCGGCAGUAGCAGCACCACACAGCGCAACGGCAGCAGCGGCUAACUGUGUAAUGUCCCUCGGCUAAUACACAUCGGCCGGGACACGGUUGUCUGCUGCUGCUGCUGAUGCCGCUGCUGUUGGUAGAACGUAGCCGCUUUCGCAACAGCCCCCCACUCCCGAAGCAAAGAGUUGUUCACCUCGCAACAGUUGCCCAGUGGGUUCUAGUAGCCGGAUGGCAGUAUGGUCAGCAGUGUCGCUAGAUUGCGAAUCCUUCCCUGGACGGAAAACGCGAGCGUUCGGCAGUGUGGUGCGUUUGAGUGUGUUGAGUGCGAGUGCAAGUGGUCAUACCGUCGAAAGGAUGCAAAGAUGGGCUACAACCAGCAAGCAGCCCUUUCGUUGCGUCGUGGUCAGUGCGUUCGUUCAGUUGGAAAAAUAUUUGACGCAAACUGUGCUACUACAUCCACAACAACAACAACAACAACAGUCGCAGCAGUUCGGCAGGAAAACAAACCCUCUCCAGGCGGCGGUGGUGUGCGUGCAGCGUAAGCGUGUGUGCUAUCCUUUUCCGAAACCGUGACCGGUGUGAAAAGUGUACGUUUUCGUUUGUUUAUUAUCAUCCGACCCUGUCAACAAUAAACGUGCAGUGGACGACAGUGGCCUCGCGUCAUUGUGCAAGAUGUUGUAGCUCUUCCGGUAUGCAGUGGAAAACCAUCCUACAGGAACGGAAGCAGAUUGAAGGAUAAAUGAGUGUGUUUAAUUAAACGCUCAAUUCGCAUUUUUUUUCGUGGGUACAUGUGAUUUGGUGAAUCUAGCCCGGUGCAGUAACGGUUGUUGUUUUCGUUUUGUGACCUUUUUUAUCCGUGAACGUACAAUAACACUAUAAAGUUUUGGAAACACAAAAUAUGUUGCGUUCAAUUAUGGCAACUUUCAUCCCUUCUACCGUUGAGUGUAAACAAACCAGUUCGAUGCGUGAUGACCCGUACCCGCCUUUCGCAGUGGUUAUGGUAACCUAGUGCGUCAUCAUCAUGUGCGAGCGUCGUCAGGUUCGCGGAAAGAUACGGCAGGACACACGACGAUAGUAUUGAGUGCAUUCUCUCGCCUCGACGGUGAUAAGCAUAAAUGUGAAUGCGAGACUCAGCUGUUUGUGCCGUACCGGAACCGGAGCUGGAACGUGCUGCUGAACCAUGGUUUCAACACAAAACACAACACAGUGCAAUCGGUGUUGUUGGACAGCAACUUAUUUGCUACCUACAGUGCGAACUUUGUGAUUCUUCGUUCAAUUUAUUUUUAAACAACAUGGCACGGUGUGCAGAAAAUGGCAAGUGAAACUCCUGUAAAGAUUCUUUGGCUGCCUACGACUCCCGUUGUUUAUUUAUUUUCCGUUUCUUAUUGAAUUAAUGACUUGACCAUGAAUAUUAUUCAACCAGGAUUCUUCAAACCAAAUGUGAAAAGCAACAAUGUUAUUAAUAACAACCAAGCUAUAUCAAGAUACGAACACUCAACGGAAUCGACUAUGGAAACUCUAGCUAAUUCAUUUGCUGUAACCAACUCCACUACUUUGUUUCAUUGCAGUGCAAUUGAACAGCACAGCACAAUAUAAUUCUCAUUCGUUCUGUCCUUGCUUUCACACCUUCGUUCAUUGACGUUUCUACUAAACUGCUAGACAGGUUUCCUUAGCUGGAAAUCUAUCACUUAGUACUAAAAUAACCUUCGAGUGGACUACACACGCUCCCGAGCACGAAUGAUCAACUUAAAAAUGGUUUGGGUUCUACAGCCUACAAAACAUUUCGAAUGUUUCAACAACUACAAUAUACGUUCCAAACCACGGAAAGGGAAACAGAUUCCUGCCGAAACCCGCUCGCUUUACACAGAACAAAGCACGAGAAAUGCACACAACGAUACCCGCCGCACGAACCCUGCGCUCCGUUCUAUCCUGAAAGGGAGCGUUUGCUCUAGCAGCAAACGCACAAGAUCGUCAAAACUGAACAGUUUCACCAGGAGCACAAACCUGACGUAAAAAUACGAUUUGACAUAACCGAUUGCGGCGUAAAACACGCGCGCAAAAGAAGCAAGAGCAAGUGCGACACGAUACAGAUGCAGGAAGCAGGAAGAAACACAGAUAAACAGAAGAAAUGCAACAAUUAAGUUCCUACUCUAAAAUAAAGAAAAAUAAAACAUGAAACAUAGAUAAAAAUAUACGUUAUAAACGAGAGUGUAAUAAUUGUACUAUUUAGGCGCAUGAAUUUAUCCCAAAAUCGGAUUGUUCGAUGUUUUUUGGGAAGUGAAACAAAACGAAAAGAAGAUGAGAUAGAAAAUGAAAGGAAAAGAUACACACCCCCCGAGACGCAUAUACACACAUGUGAGUAGGAGAGAAAAGGAGAAAAGAAAAACAUCAGCAAAAAAAUCAUGUGAACGCAAAUCGUGAUCGUGACAAAAUGUAAAGUUACAAGAGACUGAACGUUUGCCCUGGCGGUGGCGGCGUUUGGUUGAUGAUUGUGUUUUGAAAUAUUAGGAAAAAAACAACCCUUAUGCUAAAUGAACAUGAUCAGCAUAAUGCAUAGUUCUACUCCUAGACCUUAUAUUUUAAUGAUCAAUUCCUUACGGUUGGAGCGUUUUUCCGCCAUCGGAACCUACUAGCAGGUCUCCGGACUGUUUAGCGUGAAGACCACUUUGACCGUGCGCGAUUAAUCCUUGAAAAGGGUUUAGGAUCUAAGCUAUAAUGAUGUGUCAUUCUGCAGUGUGGAAGAAUCAAAUAUGACGUAAAACAUAAACACCCAAACGUCGCCACACACAUGGCAGACAGAACAGUUUUGCACCUCGCUUGUUCUCAUCUCAACACAAAUUGAGAUGAGACCUAGAAUUCUACUAACUAUAACAUGUAGUAUUAAGAAAGUUACACUGGAACCGAAGUGAAAAGAAAGUUCGUUUCAGAAUGAUUAAAUGAUAACAUAAGCUACACAAAUACACGCAAACAAAGCGUAAAAUGAUGUGUGAGACAAUGAAACACUGAUGAAUAAAUGUAUAAAGUGAUGGACAGGAGAAGCUGCAAAAAGAAAAGCACAAAAGACGAAUAAUCAUGACGAACAAUGCCAUACGAUGUGUGUGUGUGUGUGUAAUUAAAACGAAAUCAAGCAGCAGUAUAAUGUAAAAGCACCAUUGAACAUAAUGAUAUCAAAAAGGCAGCAGAAAGAUCGAGAUCGAUCUCAUAAUCCAUCUCGAUGAUAGGGUUUUGAUUCUUGUACCAUACAUCUUUGCGCCGUUACCUAUCUUUUUGCUGUUCUCUGGGCUAAGGUGUAGAGAGUUUCCAGCGCCAAACACUUGACAGAAAGAUCCAUGAACUAUUAAACUCUACUCUUUGCACGUUUCCACAUUUUGAUGCGGGCGAUUUUCGAAACAUUGCAGCAUAAACAACAACCAACUGUUUCUGCGCGAUCAACAACACAGUUUGGACCAGCCAGUGGAACAUUCCAACAUCAACUUACCACCGUUUCACUCAAGCGGGCUCUUUGGGCGUCAACAAGAUAAGCAUUGCGAUCUUAUAUACUAUUGUAGUCAGCUUAUCGAAAUGCAUAGACAUAUUUUAUAAAACGUGGGAAAAUAUAACAAAAAAAUAUAAAAAUCAUAAAACAAAACCAAAAAAAUAUCGAGUGCGUAAAAUAGAUGAAAGUUAAACAUAUGCAUACAUACCCUUUGAAUAUUUAUUAUUCAUUGACGAUCGAAGAAAAUCAAUUGAUCUCUAACGACUAUAUUCGUCGCCCACAGUGACAGUGAUCGAGUGCGUUCGAUCGUUGCUUGCGGUGCGCGUACGAUCAGUCGACUCAUGUGCAAACAUACAAUCCAUGUGCAAUGAAACAUAAAAUUUGUUCGCUAAUGUUGUGUGCGAUAAUUAAUCGGACAACAGUUUGAUAUUAGGAAAUAGGGUAAAAUUGAGCAAUGAAACAGACAGAGGGAAGGUGUGCUGAAUAUGCGAGGAGGCUCACCGUUCCUUUUGUCUCUUUCGUGUUGGUGUGUGUGAACCGAGUGAACGGGGGAGGCUAUAACUUUCAAACCGUUCUGCUGAAGUCGACAGCAGAACGGAUUUAACGUUGUAGGGAUUAAAAUUCAUCAAUAUUUGCAGCUAUUGUUUAGGAGAUAAAAAGGAAUUAGCAGAAAGGGGAGAAAUGAUUCGAUUGAGCCAGCGGUUGAUAUGAGAUAUUUUUUUAGAUUUACUAAGAGCUAAAGAAGACGGCAGUCAUACGGCCAGUGGCUAAGCGGUAGCACUAACUGAUGAAAAGUUCCUAUAAUGCAUUACCCGCAUUCUUCGAGCCGAUCGGGAAUGAGGGUGUGCGACCAUUUGUCAUUAAUAUUACAGACAUUACAUUACACACUCACUUCAACGUGAUUAUGAAUCUAUUAUAUGAUACUACUAAACAAACAAGCGUAUGUAUAAAUGGCUAUGUUUCGUUUGAUAAUGUUUUAAGUUAGUUUGUGCAGUUUCCAAUAAUGAUUCGAUGCAUGUAGAGACGCAACUUUAUACGCAUACCCUGCCCCAACGUGCGUGGGAUCUUACCGAAUCUAGUGAUGAUGAUAGCUUCUGCCUAGAGCAACUGCUUUACACGGUCCAAACGGCAGGAAACACAGUGCAAUGUAUAAAACACUAUUGGAACUUUCACACCAGUGCAUCGAGAGAGUUUAAUUUGUCGGAUCGAACUCCACCUACUUAGUACUGUAACGAGCGUUGGAUUUUUUUUAAGACAGACCUGCCUGUCUGAUAUAACAAUCUUUAAUAAUGGAUUGUUCACCAAAUUGAAUCAUUUCGUUUAUAACGAAAAUGUUCGCUUUACUACUCGAAGAGAGAUUUUAUUCGAUGUAUAAAUAUGAAUACAAAAGGUUUGUUGGUAAAAUAAACCAAAACACCACUGCACGCGAUCACCAACACACGUAGGCACACAAUGAAAAACAAAAAAACACACUGAAGGACAUUGUUUCGUGAAAAAUAAUUUACUGAAACUACCAAAAUUGAAUGUUACACAAAAACAUGACAAUUGAUACUCGCGAAAACAACAAUAAUAGUUUAUUAGGUUGAAUAGAGAGAGGACAGCAGUAUGUUCGACUGUUUCAAAAGGUGGCUAGGGUGCGGACAUGUAAUGGCAAAACAUGCAUAACUUUAAAUGAAACGAAUUUUGUUCCUAUUUGAGAUUGGAGAGAAAACGAUAAAACACAAGUGUGAGCAAAGAAUAUGGCAAACAUAGACAAAGAAAGAAAUGCAAAAAUAACCAUACAAAACCGGAAAACCGUAGCAAUUCAUGCAAAUUAAACAUCAAAUCGUAAUGAUAAACAACACACACAACCACAUAUAAUCAAACAUUUCUACAACUCAAUCCACUUGAACUGAACGCCGCGCGCAAGAAAAGGUCAGAGAAAGAGAUAACGAAAGAUAAAAGAAACACAGAAAGACUCGACAUAUCAUGAACGAUUACUUUUGCCCUCGCAUUAAACAAGUGAAACUAAGAAAAUUUUUAAACCCAACCGCAUUAAAAAAAAAGUGAAUCAUUUAGAUGAGGGAAGCCGAAGAAGAAAACGUUCUUUCAUGUGUCAAAUGUCAACCAACAUAACACACUAUUGCUACUACUAGUAAUAUUACUGUUACUACCAAUACUACUACUUACUACUAUUACUACUAACAACUACUCAACAGAAGGCAGCAGAACAGAGAUCAAAUACCAGGGCUACUUUCUUCGUUGCCGUUUAUUUCCCUCAACUAACCUGUUGUGAUCUAUACUCCUUGUUUUAAGCAAGUUCAAACCCAAAACUCCAACAACAAACCAAACGCAUCCAGUGGAAGGCCAAGAUUAAACCGCGCUUAAAAAAGAAAACCAACCUCUACUACAAAGUUCCUGUUCCCUUGCUUUUUGGCACGCGAUCGCAAGGGGUGUGAUCGGUGCUCGUGGGGAAAUUGUUCAGUUUGUUAUUUUAACAUAUUUGUUAGUCUUAUUUUAAAGUCGUUCGUUCAAAUUUUCCUCAGACAAGAAAAAAAAGAACCUUUACAAUACUCCAUGUCAAACGAUGCUUAUUGAAGCGGUAUUGCUUCCGACACACUUUUUCAAUGAUUGGCAGAAUAAAUUAUAGCAUUUCACAAUGAUUAGAUGAAACAUGAUGUGUGAGCGUGGUGGCAGAGGAUUGCCGUAGCGUCAUAAAUGAUGAAAACGAAAACUGAAUUUGAAACAAUUCAAAUUUUCACUCGGAAGACACUGAAGCUACCAGAAGCAAAGUGUUGUUUCUUCCAUGGUGGGUGAUUUGAAUUGAUUCCAGUUUUCUUCCAGAGGGUGAGAUAGUGAGUAUGUUUACUUGACGUCAUCAUGUUGCAGGUCAUUAAACUCGAUGCAGGUUUGGAUUUCAACAAUGUCGUUGAUGGCAGCGGUUAAAUCCACCCCGCCCUCUGUAGUCAACCACGAGCUAAUGUAACCUUAGAAAACGCAAAGGAAUGAGCAGCAAAAGCAAAUGUUAAAAAGAAGAUAAGAAACAAAUACACUAACCUAACGAAAAUGGUAAAAAGAGUUCCUAUAAAUUAAGUACUACUAACUAACAAUACUCACUCGCAACACGCAGUGACUGUUUAUGUUUACAUUUUUCGUUGAUUUGUUCAUUUGUUUUCAUGCUAGUUUUGCGUUUCUUUUUUAAAUUAGUUUUUAACACCAUUUUUUGGCUUUUUAUUUUCCUGUUGUCUUUUAAUACGGUCGGUGAAAUACUACAACGUUACUUUUACAUUUGUGUAACCCUUUAUCAAUAUACAACAAAAGGCAGAAACACUGAUCUACGAUGUAAGAAUUAUUUGAUGAGUUUGAUGUAUGAAAAAAUGUAAAGAUAACAUUAAAAAUAUGGUGAAAAGUAACUAUUAGCUGUAGGAACCGAAUCGGUACAGUGAGCCGCAAAUUGCCCAAAAGUAAACCAAAAACGAAUGUUCUUAAAUCGUUUUACGUAACACAACCGUCGUGCAGACAGCAUUCGAUAAUGGUUUUAUGUUGAAUACUUUCAAUCCAAUCCACAAAACGACAAGUGUAUGAAGAGUUUUUACUUCAGCAUAAAGACAUAUGUAAAUCAACAGUCAAACCUGCACUGAAAAGAGCAAGUGCAUUCAAUCAAACAAUUACAGAAGAGAAAAAAUCAACCUACGAAAUGAAUUACAGAGUAAACAUUACCGGCAAAUGUAUGUUGGCAGAAAGAACUAAGGUUUAAGGUAACCUCUGUAAUAUUGCCAUUUGCUUUCACCUUCUUCACAUGCCCUCCUGAUCCUUCACCAUCAGUCAAUGUCAACUAAACUAUACCGCAGCUAACACUAAUAACGAACCGGAGAACAUUUCAACCCAAGCUUACUUAUUCUAACGAGCUGAAGGAAUUCAAACGAAAUGCAACGUAACAGGACAAUGGUCCUUACAAUCUAGCACAAAGGAGGGGAGAUACGUGGAUGAAAUGAAGCAUACACACACACACACAAUUGCAGAAAAAAUCUACUUACAUUGUAUAAGAUAUAUUGUCAGAUGUAAAAGAAGAAAAAUAAACUUAUUUGGUAGUCAAGAUCAA